RNA transcript from Zea mays, 6090 nucleotides. RefSeq lists it as uncharacterized. Lineage: Eukaryota; Viridiplantae; Streptophyta; Magnoliopsida; Poales; Poaceae. The transcript is spliced from 5 exons. The record is from RefSeq and is marked predicted.
CUCACCAGUCACCACCCCAGGCCAGCCGCCACGUUUAGCCGGGCUAAACAAACACGGGCGCACAAUCGGAACUCGCUGCACUGCUUGGAAUCCAACGAGCCAAUCAUUCAAAUCCUCCCCGGAACCGCGUUGAGCAGGGCACGGUCGAUUGGAUCUAGGGUGAGGGUCCGUCGCCGAAGAAACUCGCAGGCGGUCACGAGGAGGCGGCGGGGGAGGGCGGGGGAGAUGGCCUCGGAGGAGAUGACGGCGACGGAGGUGGCUGCGCUGCUGGACUUGAAGCCGCACCCGGAGGGCGGCUUCUACACCGAGACCUUCCGCGACGGCUCCAUCACGCUCACCACGUCCCAGCUCCCGCCCCACUUUGCUCUGGGUGGUGAUCCUUCGCCGAGCCACCAGUUGAUCUCUCACGAUUUGGGGGUUCCCUCAUUCUUCUCCAACCUCCAGGUAUUAUGGUUUGUCCUAGUCUGACUUUUACACCACAUAAACUGCUGUUAUUAUACUCAUCUGUUCUUAAUAUCAGGCAUUGGUGGACGGGAUGGCUAGUCAGUUGAAGUUGCAGGGUGCUUCUGUUCCAGAGGGAGCUUCGUCUCUGGCGCGUUGGAAUCCGGUGCUGCUUCAGCAGCGUGUUUCUGACUUAGAGGCGGCGAAUGCUGAUAUGGCCCGACAGUAUUCUGUUCUUGAAGAAAAACAUUCUCAAAGCCAGGCUGAACUGGUCCGGCGGUGCUCUGAUCUUGAGGAAAAGUAUUCCCAAAGCCAGACUGGGCUGGCCCAGGUUUCUGCUGCUCUGAAUGAUGCUAACAUGCUAAAUUCUACUCUCCGCGCUCAGCUCGAUUAUGAAAAGGAAGAAAAAUGUGCCCUUGUUACUUCUCGUGACAAUCUUGAUAGGCUAUAUCGUGACUCCAGCAACUCGUUGACCAUCCUGGAGAGGAGUCAUCGCUUCACCAUGGAGGAGUUAGACAAUCAUCGUUAUAAGCUGCAGGAAUCCAUGGACGACGUGAUUCGCCUCAGGCAGUUGAAAUCGGCUAAAGAUGAUGUCAUCAAGGAACUACGUGCUUCCAAGAAGUCCAUCGCCCAGGAGCUGGAGACCGCUCAGUUGGCUGUCAAGGUUGCUGAAGAAACUUCCGCUACUCUGAGGGCCCAGCGCAACAGAGCUAUGGAUAAAGCCAUUCGCGCAGGGCGGAUCUUGAUGAGGAGACCUGGUGUGGUUGUCCCCGACGACAUAAGGGCUGAUGUGAACGCUACUCCUGAUUCCUCAAGUUGCUCUUCUUCGUCGGUUGCUCCUGAGAAGAAUGUUGCAAAAUAGAAAAACAUUGCGUGCUUUGAGCGCGCGGUUAACGUGCUCGGAUAUUUUGUUAGAGGACGCCCGCUUAAUAUUGAAUGCUACUAUUAUUCUCCUAUUGUUUAGAAUUCAGCAGUAUCUAAAUUUGUAGAAGUAAAAUGUUGCGUGAUGAUUUUGAGACUUCCUCAUGGGACAUAGAGGCCGCCCCUAGACGAGUAACUGUAUGCGCGCCGAGUGUGCCGUGCCUGUUUAAGUUAGUAUUAACUCAAACCGAUCGCUCCGUGAGUGUGGCUUAGUGGCCACCACGAGUUAAGCAAGCGUGAGCAUGUUGCACCGUCUUAAGUCGUUGUCGACUUAAGUCGAUUGCUCCGUUAGCAGGGCAUGAUGGUUACCCCGAGUUAAGUAAACGCGAGCAUGUUGCACCGUCUUAAGUCGUUGCCGACUUAAACCGAUUGCUCCGUUACCGUUAGCAGGGCAUAGUGGUCACCCCGAGUUAAUUAAGCGCGAGCAUGUUGCACCGUCUUAAGUCGUUCCCGACUUAAGCCGAUUGCUCCGUUAGCAGGGCAUAGUGGUCACCCCGAGUUAAGUAAGAGCGAGCAUGUUGCACCGUCUUAAGUCGUUGCCGACUUAAGCCGAUUGCUCCGUUAGCAGGGCAUAGUGGUCACCCCGAGUUAAGUAAGCGCGAGCAUGUUGCACCGUCUUAAGUCGUUGCCGACUUAAGCCGAUUGCUCCGUUAGCAGGGCAUAGUGGUCACCCCGAGUUAAGUAAGCGCGAGCAUGUUGCACCGUCUUAAGUCGUUGCCGAUUUAAGCCGAUUGCUCCAUUAGCAGGGCAUAGUGGUCACCCCAAGUUAAGUAAGAAUGCAGGUCGACCAUGAACAAUUUGAGUAUUCUUGAGGUCUUUUUAUUGAUGAUAUAUUUCCCAGUUUACAGAGUACAUUGCCGUCCCGAUAGCUUUUGAAAUACAGCUACGGGUAAAACUUACUGAGGUAUUCUAUGUUUCAUGAGUUCCCAAUUUCCGUGCCGUCCAUCUGAGUGAGACGAUAUGAUCCCGGCCGAGUGACCUCUGCUAUUAUGAAUGGUCCUUCCCAUAAAGGUGACAACUUGUGCUGUCCCUCCCCCGUUAGAAUUCGGCGGAGGACGAGGUCUCCCACUGUGAAGGAUCGACGUCGCAUGGUCUUAUCGUGAUAGCGCCUCAGAGUUUGUUGGUACCGUCGCAUGGUCUUAUCGUGAUAGCGCCUCCGAGCCAGCACCCCUCCGACUUCACUCGGCGUGUUCAUGGCUUGGACGAAGUCGGGGUUCAGGUUGCGCCCGAAGAGUGGAUUCUCCCGACGUUGCCUUGCCUCCUGCUCGGCUUGUUCCUGAGCCCGUCGGCGAUCACGCCGUCGGGAAUUCCUUCGUUCCCUGAAGACACGUUCCUCCGACGUUUCUCCUAUCUCUGAGACCUCGUCUCGCGAGACAGGCUGCUCCGGGUCCCGCUCUCCGGCCUCGUGAUGUCUCCGGACAUUUCGGCGUCGGUUCCUUCGUCGGCGGGAUUCCCGCUGAGGAGGUUCCUCUCCGGGUGCAGUCGGUUCGUUGUCGGAGACGGGGGGCGACUCCACUCUCCCGAUGAAGAGGACGUCGGGGUAGAAUGGCGCAGCUGUCGUGGCGAUCUUCUUUCUGUUCUCCUUUGAGGGCAGAGGUACAGGAAGAACAACUUGCUUCCUAUUUGUUUCCUUCUUCCUUGCGAUUUGUGUCCAUUCUUUCAUCGGAGAGGUAGACAGUGGAGUCCUCCGGGUUAGCGGGCCCUCGGCCCCUGGCUCGCUGAAGGCUAUCUUUUUUCGGAGUGCUGUAGGUUGCGCUUUUCCCUGCCUUACCCCGAUAUUCUCGGAGGUUGUUGGAGGAGACUUCCUCCUUGGCGAAUCUACGAUGCGAUGUAGAGUUCCUUCCUCAUCCGCUACAGAUGAGAUAGUUCCGAAGCAGAACACGGAUCCGGGGCGGAGGAUGAUCUUGUGAUGGAAGGUGACGGCCAUUGAGCUAGCUUAGAUCGGCGACACACCCCCUACCUGGCGCGCCAGCUGUCGGUGUUUUGGGUCCGACCGCACACCCGGGGUUGCCCCUCAAGGUGUUUUUAGGAGUAGGACGAUGUCGCCGACUGUAGCUCGAUGGUUCGUGCAGAGCGCACGAGAAACUGUGAACAAUGAUGUACAGAUUCGGGCCGCUUAGAGAUGCGUAACACCCUACGUCCUGGCGGGAAUGUUUUAUGUGGCGGAUUACAAGGGAACUCUCUAGUGUAAGGAACGUAGAGAGUUGAGGUGGAUGGCUGAGUAGUCAGAUUGAUCCUCUGAAGGGGUGCCCCCUAGGCCUUAUAUAUUCGACCGUGGGGCAUUACAUGCGGAUAUGAUAAUAGUAUGCGCCUAAAUGAUAGUGAACCAAUUGAGCCUAUCUCCCUAUAGUUCCGCCGACCCAUCCUUGCGUGGUUCCAUCGCACAGGGUUCCAAUGCGAGAAGAUCGGGUCACUGUCGUGCUUACUUGCUCGAAGUCAUUGGGUCGUCUGGGCUCGCACUGAUCCUGCCUUACGUCAAUCUGCUUCACUGGUCAUUCCUCCCCAGACCCACGAAGGGAUGACCUUACGAUUUAUUGGGCCUUUGGGCCUUUCGUGAGGUCUUUUAUCCUUCCAGUGGACCCGGGGAUAUCUGUCCCCCACAAUGGCUGCAUACAAACAUUAGCUGAAUAAAUACCUUUGGAAUUGAAAUUUCAAGUGUAAAUUUUGCAUUUAUCAUAAAAAACUCAAUUAGGGGUCUGCCGUUCCCCUAGCUUUAUAUAUUUAAGAAGAUGGGCCCACCAAAACCUGCCGGGGCCGAGCGUCACCCAAUGGGAUGCCACAGCAACCGUCACAGGGAGGUGGGCACCAGGCCGCAAUUUGGUGCGUCACCCAGGAUUCGAACCCUGGGCGGGAGCACUUGCGACCAGUGGCCUUGCCACUGCGCCGUGACCCGUGAGCCCCUUCGCAAUUUUGCAUUUAUCAUGAUUCGUGGAUUGUGACAAGCUGAAAUAUUUGGUCAUUGUCCAUGGUAAUGAUCUUGAAGGGUAGGUCUUGUGCAUUACCAUGAUCUUGAAGGGCAAGUCUAGUGUAGUGGUCAGAGUUAUCUCACAGUCUCACCUGCUAUAUUUACGGGAGGCAGGCUUGUCUCGAUUUAUCCCUUCCUCAGACCCCACUCAGGCCUUGUUCGAUUAUUCCCAUUAUACAUGGAUUGAAAAAAAAUUAGAAGAACUUUGACUUGCUUGGGAUUUAAACCCACCCAAUUCCACUCAAUCCACAUGGAUUGAGAUCUAACCGAACAAAGCCUCAUAUGGGAGCCUCUAGCACUAGGUCUGCCAUGUAUUGACCUUGCAUGCUUCUUAGUUAUAGUACUAUAGUGGCUACGUGUGAUAUGAAUCUUUAUCAGUAGUUGCUACCUGAAGCUCCUUGUUACCUUGUACGAUUUGUAAUGGAACAUGCAGUUAGUGAGAUGUCUGUAACAACCAAAGCAGGAUGGUAUGGCCGCCAUCUGAAACCACUGCAAAUUUUAAGAAUACUGAACAUUUGCCAUCAGUUUGGAAAAUAUUUAUUGCUUCUCUGUUCUGCCCUAUAUUAUACGAUUUGCUGCAGACAACCUAAAUGUGUAGUUGGUGAUUUUAUUUGCGGGGCAUUUGGAGCCAUUCAUUUUAGAGGAAUUAAAAUUUACUUAAUAAAGUAACAGAUUUGGCUUGGGAUUUGACAUUCCACCACUUUCUAAAGUUCAGAUAUUAAGUCCAUCUUAAAUUCAUGAGGUAAAGGAUGAGAAAUGAUUUUAUGUAUUAGUAGAAAUGUAGCACGUAAAUAUCGCUGGCAUCUUACUAAUAAUAGUAUACAAAUAUAUUUUGCAUAAAAUUGUAUUAGCUUAAUUGAUACGUGUGUAAAUUACUAUAUUAUUGGAAUGGAAUUCAAUUCUAAGGAUCCAAACGGGGCUUAUUAGUGUAUUUCUGAGUGGUUGGAUCUUUUCUAUGGAGACAAGUUAUUGUUCCACUAAUAUCUGUGACCACUAAUUUGAAUUUUUGAGUGCAAUGCUAGACAACGAAUGAGUACUAAACUAGAUCAUACAUGGAUAUGAAGUCAAGCUGAUAUUAUCUCUCUAAUAUCCCCUUAAUGUAUGCUGCAGACAAGGUAAACCGUGCUGUUAGCACCGCAAUCUAUUUCCUACUUCCCGCAGGGAGUGUUUCCCGUCUCCACCGCAUUCCCUGUGCUGAAACCUGGCACUUCUACAAGGGAGAGCCUCUCACGGUCUUCGAGCUUCACGACGACGGUCACAUUGACCUUACUGUCAUUGGCCCACACCUUGAGGCAGGCCAGCGCCCCCAGUAUACCGUGCCACCGAACGUGUGGUUUGGGUCGUUCCCCACACUAGACGUCGAGUCGUUCGCAUCUGAUGGCAGCGUUCUUGUCAAGUCUCGGAAGAGGGACCCUGAGCUGCAUUACUCCCUUGUUGGCUGCACCUGUGCCCCUGGCUUCCAGUACGAGGAUUUUGAAAUGGCCAAAUUUGAGGACGUGAGAUCCAUCGCUCCCAAGGCUGAACCUUUCCUCAAGUUUCUUAUUCCCUCUACCGAUUAACUCCAGAGCAGCCUCAGAUGAUUGUGGAUGGGUUCUCAGCGACUUUCUAUACUGCAUACUGUACGGAUGGUGUUUCUAGUGUGAUUCCAUGAGAGUUCUGCUUUCACGACAGUGUAGACAGUAAACUGUACCUUUGUGGUGGCACCGGUUGAAACGUUUGGUGCAUUGAAACAGAAUAACAGCUGGUCUUGAUGUUGAAUAGCA